Molecule: transfer RNA, 71 nt
Filed under: Salmo salar (Atlantic salmon)
Lineage: Eukaryota; Metazoa; Chordata; Actinopteri; Salmoniformes; Salmonidae
Rfam family: tRNA
About the family: Transfer RNA (tRNA) molecules are approximately 80 nucleotides in length.
Source: Rfam by way of RNAcentral
UCCUGUGUGGCUUAGUUGGUAGAGCAUGGCGCUUGCAACACCAGGGGUGAGGAUUUGAAUUUCCACGGGGA